Molecule: long non-coding RNA, 1122 nt
Organism: Solanum lycopersicum (tomato)
Lineage: Eukaryota; Viridiplantae; Streptophyta; Magnoliopsida; Solanales; Solanaceae
Source: RefSeq, a predicted model, not a curated record
UUAAGACGUGCAUUAAGAUCUAGACGUUUGAAUCUGAAAUACAAAAUAGUUAAGACUAUUUAUUUUCUCAACCUCCGACGUAUAGAAGUAGUUUUUGUUCAAAAAGUAAUAAAUAUAAAAUCAAUCUCACAUUAUAUCAAUAAAAAUGUAAAUUUUUCUACACAACAAUUGAUGGUGAUAUUGACUAGCGAUGAUGACUAUGCGUGUCGAUUUGGAAUGACGUUAGAUCAUAGAUGAUCGCGGAUAGUAUCUUAAGGUAUAUUAGUACAAAUAAAUGGGCUUCAUACUUUUGGGCCACAACUUCAAAGCCCACUCCCCAAAAACCCUAGCUUCCUCUAUAUAAAUAGAACCACUAACCCUACAUUAACUCACAUCAGUUUCAGUUUCUCCUCUUCUGCAGCUGCAGAUCGAAAUCUUCAAAAAUGUUACAGACCUGUAAUGAUUUGUGAAAAUGAUCACAAUUAAUUAUGAACAUCUAAGGGACUGAGUUGUUUGUCAUAUUAUAUUUUUACGAGAUAACGAUAAGGUUUGCGUAGAUUUAUAAUAUGCUUUGCUAAUUACAUAUUUUUGUGUAUCACACUUUUUAUAGUGUGAUAUUUUAGUAAGUGAAGCUAUAAUAAAGUUCCCCUCGCUAUCCUUUGCAUCUAAUUUUUUGUGGUGUAUUUGGACGUUGGGGUACUACAUGAUUUAUUUGUAAUGUUUAAAUUUUUUUUAUUAUAAUGAUUAAAUAAUUAUUUUAUUGUUUUUUUAAUUAUUAUUUUUUUGCCAAUGAUGAUCAAAAUACUGUGAGAAAAUUGUGAAUUAUGUGUGAUUUUUUUGGAAAGUAGUAUGAAAAUUCACAAAGAAAAUAAAUAAUUUUUGAAUUUACAUAUUACUCUUAGGAAAAUCUCAAAUAAUUCACAUUGUGUUUUUUGUAGUGUAAAUAUGAAGACAUAAUAUCAUAGAUUCACAAGAUAUAUCAAAAUGUCUUUUGUAACGAAAUAAAUGAAAUUUAGGACAUAACUAUUUAAUGUUGUAUAAUCCUACAGAUAUAUAGACAUUCACGUCAAUAUUGUAAAUAUUGAAAUGCUCAAAGUUCGAGUUUGUUAUAACAAUUUGAUAAGUGUUAUAUAUUUUGAAUUA